GAGGGUAUAGCUCAGUGGUAGAGUGUGUGUUUAGCAUGCACGAGGUCCUGGUUCAAUCCCCAGCACCUCCA
RNAcentral lists this transfer RNA (71 nucleotides) under Camelus bactrianus (Bactrian camel). It matches the Rfam family "tRNA". From Rfam's summary of the family: Transfer RNA (tRNA) molecules are approximately 80 nucleotides in length. Lineage: Eukaryota; Metazoa; Chordata; Mammalia; Artiodactyla; Camelidae. RNAcentral also lists the same sequence under 3 other names. The record is from Rfam by way of RNAcentral.